GCAGUAGCCGCGGGAAUACGUAGGGUGCAAGCGUUAAUCGGAAUUACUGGGCGUAAAGCGUGCGCAGGCGGUUAUAUAAGACAGAUGUGAAAUCCCCGGGCUCAACCUGGGAACUGCAUUUGUGACUGUAUAGCUAGAGUACGGCAGAGGGGGAUGGAAUUCCGCGUGUAGCAGUGAAAUGCGUAGAUAUGCGGAGGAACACCGAUGGCGAAGGCAAUCCCCUGGGCCUGUACUGACGCUCAUGCACGAAAGCGUGGGGAGCAAACAGGAUUAGAUACCCGGGUAGUCCCUGUCUCUUAUAC
This 302-nucleotide ribosomal RNA is filed under the name uncultured bacterium. Its description in RNAcentral is "partial 16S ribosomal RNA". It matches the Rfam family "Bacterial small subunit ribosomal RNA", at positions 508 to 807 of the family's 1533-position model. The record is from RNAcentral.